Molecule: ribosomal RNA, 496 nt
Filed under: uncultured bacterium
Lineage: Bacteria
Description: partial 16S ribosomal RNA
Rfam family: Bacterial small subunit ribosomal RNA
Source: RNAcentral
AUGAACGCUGGCGGCGUGCCUAAUACAUGCCAGUCGAGCGAACAGAUGAGGAGCUUGCUCCUCUGACGUUAGCGGCGGACGGGUGAGUAACACGUGGAUAACCUACCUAUAAGACUGGGAUAACUUCGGGAAACCGGAGCUAAUACCGGAUAAUAUAUUGAACCGCAUGGUUCAAUAGUGAAAGACGGUUUUGCUGUCACUUAUAGAUGGAUCCGCGCCGCAUUAGCUAGUUGGUAAGGUAACGGCUUACCAAGGCGACGAUGCGUAGCCGACCUGAGAGGGUGAUCGGCCACACUGGAACUGAGACACGGUCCAGACUCCUACGGGGGGCAGCAGUAGGGAAUCUUCCGCAAUGGGCGAAAGCCUGACGGAGCAACGCCGCGUGAGUGAUGAAGGUCUUCGGAUCGUAAAACUCUGUUAUUAGGGAAGAACAAAUGUGUAAGUAACUAUGCACGUCUUGACGGUACCUAAUCAGAAAGCCACGGCUAACUACGUG